GUGUAUGAGUGCGCAGUGUGUGUGUAUGAGUGUGCAGUGUGUGAGUAUGAGUAUGCAGUGUGUGAGUAUGAGUGUGCAGUGUGUGAGUAUGAGUGUGCAGUGUGUGAGUAUGAGUGUGGUGUGUGUGUAUGAAUGCAGUGUGUGUGUGUGAAUGCAGUGUGUGAGUGAAUGCAGUGUGUGUGUGAAUGCUGUGUGUGUAUAUGAGUGCAGUGUGUGUGUGAAUGCAGUGUGUGUGAAUGCUGUGUGUGUAUGAGUGCAGUGUGUGUGUGAAUGC
Non-coding RNA from Pelobates cultripes (western spadefoot toad), 274 nucleotides. NCBI's taxonomy places the organism in Eukaryota, Metazoa, Chordata, Amphibia, Anura, Pelobatidae. The record is from the annotation of a GenBank genome assembly.